UACGUAGGGUGCAAGCGUUGUCCGGAAUUAUUGGGCGUAAAGAGCUCGUAGGCGGUCUGUCGCGUCGGAUAUGAAAAUCCAGGGCUCAACCCUGGACCUGCAUUCGAUACGGGCAGACUAGAGUUCGGUAGGGGAGACUGGAAUUCCUGGUGUAGCGGUGAAAUGCGCAGAUAUCAGGAGGAACACCGGUGGCGAAGGCGGGUCUCUGGGCCGAAACUGACGCUGAGGAGCGAAAGCGUGGGGAGCAAACAGG
RNAcentral lists this ribosomal RNA (253 nucleotides) under uncultured bacterium. RNAcentral's name for it is "partial 16S ribosomal RNA". It matches the Rfam family "Bacterial small subunit ribosomal RNA", at positions 524 to 776 of the family's 1533-position model. The record is from RNAcentral.